RNAcentral lists this ribosomal RNA (468 nucleotides) under uncultured bacterium. RNAcentral's name for it is "partial 16S ribosomal RNA". It matches the Rfam family "Bacterial small subunit ribosomal RNA", at positions 28 to 507 of the family's 1533-position model. The record is from RNAcentral.
GACGAACGCUGGCGGCGUGCUUAACACAUGCAAGUCGAACGGAAAGGCCCUGCUUUUGUGGGGUGCUCGAGUGGCGAACGGGUGAGUAACACGUGAGUAACCUGCCCUUGACUUUGGGAUAACUUCAGGAAACUGGGGCUAAUACCGGAUAGGAGCUCCUGCUGCAUGGUGGGGGUUGGAAAGUUUCGGCGGUUUGGGAUGGACUCGCGGCUUAUCAGCUUGUUGGUGGGGUAGUGGCGUACCAAGGCUUUGACGGGUAGCCGGCCUGAGAGGGUGACCGGCCCCCAUGGGCCUUCGGUACGGCCCCGAGUCCUACGGGGGGCAAGAGGGGGGAAUUUUUGACCAAGGGCGGGAGCCCUGUGCAAGCAAGCCGGGGUGCGGAAGGCGGCCUUUCGGUUUUGAAACCACUUUGGCUGUGACGAAGCGUGAGUGACGGUAAUGGGUAAAGAAGCUCCGGCUAACUACGUG